Molecule: small nuclear RNA, 340 nt
Filed under: Castor canadensis (American beaver)
Lineage: Eukaryota; Metazoa; Chordata; Mammalia; Rodentia; Castoridae
Description: 7SK RNA (ENSCCNG00000002065.1)
Rfam family: 7SK RNA
About the family: 7SK was discovered as an abundant small nuclear RNA in the mid-70s but a possible function has only recently been suggested.
Source: Rfam by way of RNAcentral
GGAUGUGAGGGCGAUCUGGCUGCGACAUCUGUCACCCCAUUGAUCGCCAGGGUUGAUUCGGCUGAUCUGGCUGGCUAGGUGGGUGUCCCCUUCCUCCCUCACCGCUCCAUGUGCGUCCCUCCCAAAGCUGCGCGCUCGGUCGAAGAGGACGACCAUCCCCGAUAGAGGAGGACCGUUCUUCGGUCAAGGGUAUACAAGUAGCUGCGCUCCCCUGCUAGAACCUCCAACAAGCUCUCAAGAGUUUAUGAUCAAAAGCUGGAGUUAAUUUUUAUAGCAUCUUGGACAACAAACUGAAAAUAUGUCAAGAGAGGAAAGCACAACUUUUGACAGUGUUCUAAUU